UACGGAGGGGGCGAGCGUUAUUCGGAAUUAUUGGGCGUAAAGGGCGCGUAGGCGGCUUGAUGUGUCAAAGGUGAAAUCCCUCGGCUCAACUGAGGAACUGCCUUUGAAACUGUCUGGCUUGAGGCCGGGAGAGGGUAGCGGAAUUCCCAGUGUAGCGGUGAAAUGCGUAGAUACUGGGAGGAACACCGGUGGCGAAGGCGGCUACCUGGACCGGUUCUGACGCUGAUGCGCGAAAGCGUGGGUAGCAAACAGG
RNAcentral lists this ribosomal RNA (253 nucleotides) under uncultured bacterium. RNAcentral describes it as "partial 16S ribosomal RNA". It matches the Rfam family "Bacterial small subunit ribosomal RNA", at positions 524 to 776 of the family's 1533-position model. The record is from RNAcentral.